CCCAAUCCCCCCAUACUUUUGAUUGGUCUUCUGAGCCCCAAUGCCACGUACUUUCACUCUUCGCCUAUAAAUUAGAAGCACCAUAUUUGAGCUCCCCUCACCAUUGAAGUGAGCUCUCUCUCAGUCUCUCUCUCUCCCCCCCCCCUCCCCUCUCGUCUGUCUUUAAUAAAAAGGCGAAGAGAUGAUCUUGAUGAUCAGGUUGAUAAACAGCAUGGGAGGAUCGGUAAAGCUCAGGAGGGAUAGCGCCAUAGAGAGUAAAGUGAUGAUGAUGGCCGUGGUUGUGAUUUGUGAAUAUUGUGACCGCAGCUUCUUCUCUCAUCAUUGCUUUGGCGCUAUCCAUCCUGAGUUUUACGGGUCCCUCUUGCUCGCUCGCUCUGCUUCACUCUUCGCUACUUCUCACACAAAUCCUCCGUCUUGAAACCUUGGGAUCCUUGAUGCACCAAACUGGGUCAAAAGGGAAGACUUGAAUUAAGCUUUUGCAGGUGGCAAUAGAAGGGGCUUCGAGUGUGGGGAAUAAAUGCAGUCUGAGUCUGAGGGGGUAUGAGUUGUGAGCAGUACUCUUCAGAAGGCGCCUUUAAGAGGGAGUUAUGGGCUUAGGGUUUACAUGCUUUUGACUUAAAUUUGGUGGCAGGCUUUUUUAUUUAUGGGUAUGAGGGCAACUGUGGGAUGUUGACUCCUUCGAUUAGGUCACUAUCUCCCCAUCCCGUCCCUUUUCUUCUGCUUCUUCUUCUUCUUCUUCUUUUUCUUUUACUGCUAUACUACUGUUAGCUUUGCUGCUGCUGCUAUUGCUACUUCAUGGUCCAUUCAAUAAUAUCAUCAUCUCUCUUCUACUGGUAC
This is a long non-coding RNA of Coffea arabica (coffee), 837 nucleotides long. RefSeq lists it as uncharacterized. NCBI's taxonomy places the organism in Eukaryota, Viridiplantae, Streptophyta, Magnoliopsida, Gentianales, Rubiaceae. The record is from RefSeq and is a predicted model, not a curated record.